RNAcentral lists this long non-coding RNA (2295 nucleotides) under Dasypus novemcinctus (nine-banded armadillo). RNAcentral describes it as "lncRNA (ENSDNOG00000052996.1)". The record is from RNAcentral. Lineage: Eukaryota; Metazoa; Chordata; Mammalia; Cingulata; Dasypodidae.
CUGAUGUAUAAAUAACCAUGGGUUCCUAGAACCACAGAAUGAGAAUGUUCGCACUGAAAGCAAGCUUGGAAGACAUCCAGCUUGACCUCCGCACUUGGCCGGUUUGUAAACACAUGUCCAGAGAGGAGGAGAAAACUGCCCACGGCCACAGGGCUGGUCUGCGGCCGCCCACGCGUGGCUCCGCUGCCCGCCUGGCUGGAUGGCCGGCCCCAAAAGCACGCGCCCAUUUGAGGGGUCGCGGCCCCAGCUCUCUCUUGCCAGAACACGCUGGCUUCUCCUGGACGCGUCCCCGCCCCUCACGGCGUGGCGUCAGUGUGAUCCCUUCUUUCCUGAGGACGCAGGACACCCGGAGUCAGGGACGAGAGACGCCUGGCCCAUGGGCAGCUUUGAUGCAAGUGAAGAGAACAGAUGCCUGGGAGGAGCGGCGAUCCGCUGGGGGCCUCCAGCUACGCCAGCCCCUGCCCCCCACAGACCCCUGCCCUCCAACGGGCCCCUGCCCCCCUCAGGCCCUGCCCCUGCCUCUGGCCAGCCUCUCUGCUCCGUCCCCUCUGCCCCCGCCCCCCCCUCAGCUCCCUCUGGACUGCACCCCUUCUGCUCGUUGGUUUUCUUCCCUCGUUUGCUGCCCUUUGACCCCCAGCUUAGCUUCCUGUCUUGACUGCCCUCGGUGCCGGCCUCUGGCUUGUCUUUCCACGGUCCUGAGUUGUGCCCCGAGUCGAGCCCCACACUGCACCUGGCAGGCUCGGGGUCAGCUGCAGCCGGCAGGCUUGGGGUCCCCUGCACCGGCUGUCUCGGGAUCCCCUGCACCUGGCUCUCUCGGGGUCCCCUGCACCCGGCAGGCUCGGGGUCCCCUGCACCUGGCUCUCUUGGGAUCCCCUGCACCCGGCAGGCUCGGGCUCCCCUGCAGCCGGCAGGCUCGGGGUCCCCUGCACCCGGCAGGCUCGGGGUCCCCUGCACCCGGCCCAAAUCAGGCUGUUUGUCCGCCACCACCUGCUGCUGUCCUCAGGGGCCCCCAGAGCUGCUGUGGCCCAGGGUCUCUGACCAGUGAGCUGCCCUUGCCCGGCGUGGCCUCGCUGCUGAGGCUCGAGUGGCCUCUAAAGCCCUGCGGGGGCGUAGGAGGUGACUCGUCAGGCCUGGGGGGACGCGAGGAGCGAGGUGCUCCAGCUGAUUUAAGUAUUUGCUUCAAAGAAUGUUUUAUUGUUUCUUAGUGGAAGAAAGAAGAAAAUUCCCAAGGAGUCUAACCUCCCUGCAGUGAGAGGGAGCCCUCCGCUUCCCUUAUCUUCACCCUGAUUUGCAAACACACGCUCCUUGCUGGGACCUGGACCAGCCCCUGCUUGCUUGGAGAUGGUCUGACAGUCACUUCAAAGAACAAAUGCAAGGUGCUGAACGGGGACCUCCACUCCCCUGGUGGGACGACUCCACGCAAAUGUACAGCACUAUUGUGAAAUUGCUAGAAAGUCCCAAAGAGGGAACUGACAUUUUUCAUGUUGUCCCAUUAUACUCUUGAGCUUACAUAUUCUAUGAAUUCUGGAAUAAAAGUCGAAGUCUCCAAAAGUUUAAUAAUCUUAACUGUACAGGGAAUUUUUUCAGUUAAGGAUGGUUAUUUUUCAGUAGUUUCUAACACGAGGUUAGUAAAUCCAACUGCUUUUUUAGAAAAAUAUUAGGGGUGGAAUAAAUAAAACAGCAUACUAUUUUAAACACCAGAAAAAUUACUGCUUGCUCUGUCCCUAGCUAGCUAUGGAAUCCUGGGAAAGCCGUUUCAUCUCUACAAGUCUUGUGUACCUGUUUCUAAAAUUGAAGUAUGGGUUUGAUGGUCCAAAGCAUUUUCUGGUUUCACACAAAUGUUAAGAAGUAAUAUUUGUACUGGGUUUGUACUGCAAAUAGAUUCAAUGUUUAUGUGAUUGUAUAUGACUUGCUUUAUAUGGAAAUGGCAAGCUUCAUAGAAAAGAAGGUAUCCCCAGAAUUCCAAGGAAUAGAAGGUCAUGUUAGCCUAUGGAAGGUCAUGUUAGCCUAUGGAAGGUCAGGUUAAACUGUGGAAGGUCAUGUUAGCCUGCAGAAGGUCACAUUAUUUUAAGAAAGUUAGUGUUAGCCUGUGGAAGGUCGUGUGAGCAUAUGGAAGGUCAAAUUAGCCUAGCCAGCAGGAGACGCUGCUCAGACAAGGCGCUGCCUUUCUCUAUUUGUGUGACUUUGGAUACUUUGCUUGGGUAUUCUCUUUAAGCCUUAUGUGCAAAAUGUCUAUAAUAAUAUAAUUAUUAUGAUAAUAUUAUUACAAAGUAUCAAUUGAGUGCUUUAUGGAGG